ACGUCGGUAGUGCAACGGUUCACCACGCGCUCUCAGAUAGAGUGAAAUGUGGGUUCAAGUCCCAACUGACGCG
This is a non-coding RNA of Parelaphostrongylus tenuis, 73 nucleotides long. The record is from the annotation of a GenBank genome assembly. Lineage: Eukaryota; Metazoa; Nematoda; Chromadorea; Rhabditida; Metastrongylidae.